RNAcentral lists this unclassified non-coding RNA (399 nucleotides) under soil metagenome. Its description in RNAcentral is "partial contains 5.8S ribosomal RNA, internal transcribed spacer 2, and large subunit ribosomal RNA". The stretch from base 1 to 120 matches the Rfam family "5.8S ribosomal RNA", at positions 35 to 154 of the family's 154-position model. The record is from RNAcentral.
GAUGAAGAACGUAGCGAAUUGCGAUAAGUAAUGUGAAUUGCAGAAUUACGUGAAUCAUCGAAUCUUUGAACGCAUAUUGCACUCUCUGGUAAUCCGGGGAGUAUGCCUGUUUGAGGGUCAGUAAAUAAUAAUUAUCAUGAAUCUUUUGAUUUAUGGAAUUGGGCUUUUAUUUCGAUAGAUCUAUGGCCUUAAAUUUACGUUAUGGGCUUGUCAUAUAAAAUCCAAUUUAAAGGAGCAAUUAAACAUUCUCAUUAGCGCGGAUUUUUACAAGCUGUUAUGAUCUUUGGUUGCUUUCAGCAUUUUUACGAGUGCGAAACCAAGAUCGUAAGCUUACUCUAACAAUGACCUCAAAUCAGGCAAGAAUACCCGCUGAACUUAAGCAUAUCAAUAAGCGGAGGA